GGGAGGGGGGGUAAUUUUCUCCCGUUAUCUGGUGCCUCCAGCUGUGAGCCACGCUGACAGCCCUGGGGCUGAUCAAACAGCCAGCGGUCUGCAUUCAGCAUCCCAUCUGCAUGGUCACAAAUAAUGUCAGCACGUCCCCGGUCCCGGCAGUAACACAUGAGUGUGUCCCUCCUCCUGCUGCAGUGCCGGGCUCCUGCCUCUGCUGCUCGUGGCACGGGGCCGUUCGGCUUCAGCAUGGCAUCGUCCCCCAAUGGCACAAUCGUGGGCAAACCUCUGAGCAGCAGAGAGAUGCUAAGUGCCAGGCUUUGAAGGCACAUGGGAGCUGCACGAGGCUGGGACAGGCCGAAUUCCUCCCCUUUCCCUGCUUCACUGCUGGACAUGGACAGGGACUCCUCCAGCAGUGCCACGCUGGGAGCACAGCAGCAGCAUUCCCCAGGCAAGUGGUGUUUUAAUGCCUUUUCUCUACAUUUUUUUUGUGUGUUGGAAGGAGUGUGGUGGCGAUCUGGGGGGCUGGAGGUGCCUGGGGAGUGAGCACACAGCUCCCAGUCGGUCCUGACUCAUAAUUAUUGGUCCUGCGAAAGGAGGCGGUGGCUCCCCGUGUGCUGCUGCAUUAGCGAGGCACUCAGGGACAUUUCGGCAGGCAGCUGCCCAGCUCUCUCCCUGUCAUUUUGUGGGUGGGCUGCAGGGCUCUGCGCUCAGAUGUGCAUUCUGACGGUGCAGCGAGCCCUGCUGAGGAGGACAGGGCACAAACUGCUUGUUUUGUAGGGCAGCACGCAGCUGACAGGGCCACCAAACUGUUGCCCCUGUCCCCAGCCGGGUGGGAGCAGCGUGAGGAGGAGGGAUGCUGCCCCCGUGUUGGCAUCGGGGUGGCCCCGGCCUUGUUCCUGGCAGCAGGGGAUGGGCCAUGGGGCUGAGCUGCCAAUGGCCACGGCUGGUCACCCAAAAAGCUGUCAAGGAUGCGGUCAGAAGAGCUUCAUCGGGAUGCAAAUAGAUGUAAAUUCAUGUAAACAUAUGUCUCGGCGCAGGUAGCUACUCGUGCCCAAAUUAUGCAAAUGUUCUAAUCCAAUAACGCUAAUGUCAUGAUUAGCCGGUGACACGGUGUUCAUUAAUAUGGUUCCCUGGCUCUUACACCCAUCACUGUCAGCAUGAUUAUGCUGAGGCAGAGACUCGCCGUGUCACCGGCGAGCAGAGCCAGUGUCAGGGAGUGAAGGGGAUACCCAGGUCCUGGGGCCACCAGGAGGGUCCCUGGGGAACGUCCUCGCAUGGUCCAGGCGAGGUCCUGGGGAUCCCAUUCCUCCCAGAGGGAGCUCAGAGCAGGCUUCCCAAAAAGCCUGCAGAGCAGCUAAACAAGCAAUCCUCAACAUCCGUCGCUGCGAUCAGAUGAAGAGGACUAGCAGGGCCAUCUAGUGACUCCUCUGGCUGCUUAAUGACCUGGGAGGUGCCCCCCC
RNAcentral lists this long non-coding RNA (1448 nucleotides) under Anas platyrhynchos platyrhynchos (common mallard). Its description in RNAcentral is "lncRNA (ENSAPLG00000023041.1)". Lineage: Eukaryota; Metazoa; Chordata; Aves; Anseriformes; Anatidae. The record is from RNAcentral.